GUACUGCUGAAGAAUCCCGAACUAGGACGAAACAGCUGUCCAGUAC
Non-coding RNA from Trichobilharzia regenti, 46 nucleotides. NCBI's taxonomy places the organism in Eukaryota, Metazoa, Platyhelminthes, Trematoda, Strigeidida, Schistosomatidae. The record is from Rfam.